Molecule: ribosomal RNA, 663 nt
Filed under: Vibrio fluvialis
Lineage: Bacteria; Pseudomonadati; Pseudomonadota; Gammaproteobacteria; Vibrionales; Vibrionaceae
Description: bacterial SSU rRNA
Rfam family: Bacterial small subunit ribosomal RNA
Source: RNAcentral
UGUGGCCUUGAGCCGUGGCUUUCGGAGCUAACGCGUUAAGUAGACCGCCUGGGGAGUACGGUCGCAAGAUUAAAACUCAAAUGAAUUGACGGGGGCCCGCACAAGCGGUGGAGCAUGUGGUUUAAUUCGAUGCAACGCGAAGAACCUUACCUACUCUUGACAUCCAGAGAACUUAGCAGAGAUGCUUUGGUGCCUUCGGGAACUCUGAGACAGGUGCUGCAUGGCUGUCGUCAGCUCGUGUUGUGAAAUGUUGGGUUAAGUCCCGCAACGAGCGCAACCCUUAUCCUUGUUUGCCAGCGAGUAAUGUCGGGAACUCCAGGGAGACUGCCGGUGAUAAACCGGAGGAAGGUGGGGACGACGUCAAGUCAUCAUGGCCCUUACGAGUAGGGCUACACACGUGCUACAAUGGCGCAUACAGAGGGCGGCCAACUUGCGAAAGUGAGCGAAUCCCAAAAAGUGCGUCGUAGUCCGGAUUGGAGUCUGCAACUCGACUCCAUGAAGUCGGAAUCGCUAGUAAUCGUGAAUCAGAAUGUCACGGUGAAUACGUUCCCGGGCCUUGUACACACCGCCCGUCACACCAUGGGAGUGGGCUGCAAAAGAAGCAGGUAGUUUAACCUUCGGGAGGACGCUUGCCACUUUGUGGUUCAUGACUGGGGUGAAUCU